RNAcentral lists this long non-coding RNA (225 nucleotides) under Homo sapiens (human). RNAcentral describes it as "non-protein coding LINC02520:36". The record is from RNAcentral. Lineage: Eukaryota; Metazoa; Chordata; Mammalia; Primates; Hominidae.
GUCGAAGCUGGCGGGGGGGUUUUCCCAGACAACAGCCUGUCCCGUGCUGCUCCCUGCCAGCCCCAAAUCAGGAGUCCCCCCACCCCCGCACCACCGUGUUUCUAGUCCUGAGAGUGAUGGGCUGGGGGAUGGAGCCUCUGAAAAUUCCACGAAGGUACUGCCCAGUUUUAGCAAUGAAAGUCCCACGUCACGGGAAACCUCUGAGUCCUGGACAAAUCAAGAUGG